AAAAUAAUAUUGUUAAUGUUUUUUGCUUAUACAAAUAUUUUUUAAUUAAUGUUAUAAAACAAUUUUAUUGUUUGGAAGGAUUUUUUUUCUUUAAAAGUUUUUUAAAGUAAUUUCUUUUUCUUUAUAAGUUAGAAAGCAUAUUCCUUUUAUGCAAUGUGGGACAUGUGUUUAUCUUUAUCAGGCUCUCGGUGGUCAAUGAUAUAUUAAUACAAGUAACUCUUGCAUUUAGUGCCAUAAAUAGGUUAGGCAGGAUCUAGGCAUGCUUGACCUUGACCCCACUCGGCUUCAUGUUCCAUUUUUGAUGUAGGAUCCAAACCUAACAUAAUAGAUGAUCUAGUCAGAUCCAUAAAAAAACAUUAAAGUCUUUGACAAAUAUUUGGAAAAAAAGGAUAAAAUAGAAUAUCGGGUGAGAAAAAUAGUUCUAAAAAAUCUUAAUUAUGUUAUAUAUAACACUGAUUGAUACUUGAAAUAAUAUAAAGAUGUGAAACUGGCAUAGGUUUGAACUUUCUUGCUUACAAAUAAGAGAAAAAACAACCGAUAAUCAAGAAAAGGGAAAGAAAGAAACAAGCUUAUGAAAAACACUUACAUGCUUUAUUAGGGUUUGCUUCAUCCAUUGGGUAUGAUAACAAGCAACAUAACAAAUUUUGAUGUCAUACUAUUAAUAAACCGCUCAAGAUGACGUAACAAAGCAAAUGAAAAGAAACCCACCUUGAUGAAAGAUCACAAUGGUCUUAAUUAAAGAAGGGACUAAAAAUAGAUUAAGAAGCUUGAAGAGAAAGAGUAAGUAAAUGCAAGGUUUAGGGAUGGAAGGAUAGAUAUUAUUAUAAAGAUAAAAAACUUCAAAUUAAAAGUGGUGGUAGGCACUGGAGAAGCGACCUUGGACCGAUGUGGAUGGCAGCAAUAUAUGGAGGGUAACAACGUCUAAUGAGGUGGACGAAAAAAUAGAGUGAGGGGCGAUCAUUGCUAUUAUGCUCGGCUACUCUUUUAGCCAUUUCUUGAGCUGUUGCUCUUUCACUAGAAAGCUCCUUCUUGGAUUGUAAGAAGAAAGAAUUAUGUGAAGGAGAAUCACAUGGAGGAGGCCGAUGUCGUCAGAUAGCUGGAUUUAAGUUGAAAGAAUGACAGAUUUUAAGGAUGCGGGGAACAUAGGGUUCAAAUUAGGAAAAGGAAGAAAGAGCUAGAGCUUUCAGGAGUCGAGAUUUGGGGGUGGGUAUUGAGGGUGAGACUGGCUCACUUGCCUCCUCUUUAUUUCAUGGAUAAACAUAUCGAAUGGAUUUGGAUCGUGUCAGGUCAAAUAAUUGAUAGGGAGAUCCAAUUUAGAUCCACAUAAUAUAUGUAUUGCGUCUUGUUAGGUCAGGGCAAAGUUUAUAAUAUCUAGAUCCAACUCAAAAUUUGGAACAGGUCAAAAUUUUCAAUCCAACUCAGCCCUACAAAUCCUCGAGAAUAGGUUAGAUCAAGUAUAAAUGUGUUGGAUUGGAUCAAUCAAGUCUCGAGUCGACCCAACCCAUUGUAACACUAUUUGUGUUAAUCAUUGCUUAUAAGUAUCCUGCUAGCCAAAAAAAGGGCUUAAUGAACAUGAUUAUCAUGUUUUGUAAUGUUGGGCAAUAAUCUAAUUUUAAGUGAAUAAUGCAGUAAAAAAUUGAUGUUUCAAACAUCUAUAAGCUAUUUUACCAAAUCUAUAAGCUAUCCUUGGAAAAAGUCUUGUUAGAUUACACCAAGCUUAUCCACCAAAAGUUUGUUAUAUGAUCUUUAAAUAAGAUAGAGUCUAUAAGACUAUAUAUUUCAAUAAGAAAAAUUUUUAGCUGCCUGAUAUGUAGUACAAAAGUUUGGCAACUCAUGUUGUUACCUAGCUCCUAAAUGAGAAAGUGUUCUUAGAUUUAUUUAGAUACUUGGCAUAAAUUGAGAUAUAUGAUACUCAAGGUAGUAUCUUAAUAAUCAGAGGAUAUAACGUUAUAAAUAGCUUAAUGAGUUUGUUAAACAAAGUGAAAUAUUUGGAAAGGGAGGAGAGCAACAAUUUUUAAGAAAACCCAUAUAUCUUAAGUUUUUGACUUAUUUAAGAGGCUUUUUCUCUCCCCUUGGAGAGAGAGACAGAUGCAAAUCAAUUAGCCCAAAAGUGAAGCUUUAUAUUGCUCCAGCUAGGUAGUGAUGGUAGCUCUAUAUAGAAAAUGUCAAAUAUCGAUCUUUGGCUCAAGCCCAUCCCAUACUAUGUAUUUAUCUCUUAAUAGAUGAAGGCAUAUACUCCUCUUAGAUCUAAAAUGAAUAAUUGAGUAUUUAAAUCGAAGAUCUACAUAAUUGAUCGGGAUUUAUAUCACUAAACAUAUCUGAGUGCAAAACAUUAUGUAUUUUGAUGGCCUUCGACCUAUACAUCUAGACAUGUAAAUGAAAUAUUUUUAUUAUGUCAAUAUGCUAAAGUAUAUGAUGCAACUUUUAUAUUGAGAAUUUACUUUAUUGAUCAUGAUCUACAAUGCUAAAACAUGUAUAGAUUGAAAGUAGUAGAGUUCAAUGCUUAAAUCAUAUCAUUUUCAUGGGACAUUAUUAGAUCCACUUAAUGCAUAGGUUAAAGAAGUGUAGAACACUAAAAUAUAUGACUUUUGAUAUCUAGGUAUCUUUAGUAAUAUAUAUAGACUAUGCUCCUCUCAAGGAGAAAAAAAAGUUAUUUGCUUGCUCGUGUUUGCUGCGACAAGGGCUCGGUCUGGUCCGUCACGUGAGGUAUUGUCCGUUCUGAUUCAUGAACUUCACGGUUUUGUUUUUUAAAAGGUAUCCCCUUGACUCAAGAGCUUGGUCCGUCAUAUGAGGUAUUGGCCGUUCUAGUCCAUGGGCCUCACGAUUUUAC
This 2830-nucleotide long non-coding RNA is filed under the name Elaeis guineensis (African oil palm). RNAcentral's name for it is "long non-coding RNA (EGUI_LNC025375)". Lineage: Eukaryota; Viridiplantae; Streptophyta; Magnoliopsida; Arecales; Arecaceae. The record is from RNAcentral.